AUGACGAAACCAAAAAGUGAAGGGGGAAUGGGUUUUCGUGACCUUAGGCUUUUUAAUCAAGCUCUUUUGGCAAAACAAGCUUGGUGUUUAUUGGUUUUCCCAGAUUCUCUGUGCGUAAAGGUGAUGAAAGCUAAAUAUUGUCCUCAUGGGCAUCUUAUUGACAUUGUUUCCCCGCAAGCAUUAUCCCUUACUUGGCAAGGUAUUAUGCAUGGCCUUGAGUUGUUGAAAAAAGGUAUUAUUUGA
This 243-nucleotide ribosomal RNA is filed under the name Triticum aestivum (bread wheat). Its description in RNAcentral is "partial small subunit ribosomal RNA". The record is from RNAcentral. Lineage: Eukaryota; Viridiplantae; Streptophyta; Magnoliopsida; Poales; Poaceae.